RNAcentral lists this ribosomal RNA (252 nucleotides) under uncultured bacterium. Its description in RNAcentral is "partial 16S ribosomal RNA". It matches the Rfam family "Bacterial small subunit ribosomal RNA", at positions 524 to 776 of the family's 1533-position model. The record is from RNAcentral.
UACGGGGGGGGCAAGCGUUGUUCGGAAUUACUGGGCGUAAAGGGCUCGUAGGCGGCCAACUAAGUCAGACGUGAAAUCCCCAGGCUUAACCUGGGAACUGCGUCUGAUACUGGAUGGCUUGAAUUCGGGAGAGGGAUGCAGAAUUCCAGGUGUAGCGGUGAAAUGCGUAGAUAUCUGGAGGAAUACCGGUGGCGAAGGCGGCAUCCUGGACCGACAUUGACGCUGAGGAGCGAAAGCUAGGGAGCAAACGGG